AAAAAAGCAGGGUCUGUUUGCUUCUUGUAAACAGGGGCUCGAGUAGACUUCAAGAAAUUAUAUGCAUUGUUAUUGGGGUAACCUCUGUAGUUAUUGGUGAUGAAGUUCAGUACAUGAUGACAAUUUU
This is a small nucleolar RNA of Pistacia vera, 127 nucleotides long. RefSeq annotates it as small nucleolar RNA snoR74. The transcript has a single exon. The record is from RefSeq and is a predicted model, not a curated record. NCBI's taxonomy places the organism in Eukaryota, Viridiplantae, Streptophyta, Magnoliopsida, Sapindales, Anacardiaceae.